GGGUCCUACGGGGCGCAGCAGUGGGGGAUAUUGCACAAUGGGGGAAACCCUGAUGCAGCGACGCCGCGUGGGUGAAGAAGCGCCUCGGCGCGUAAAGCCCUGUCAGCAGGGAAGAAAAUGACGGUACCUGAAGAAGAAGCCCCGGCUAACUACGUGCCAGCAGCCGCGGUAAUACGUAGGGGGCAAGCGUUAUCCGGAUUUACUGGGUGUAAAGGGGGCGCAGACGGCGAUGCAAGCCAGGAGUGAAAGCCCGGGGCCCAACCCCGGGACUGCACUUGGAAAUGCGUGGCUAGGGUGCAGGAGGG
Molecule: ribosomal RNA, 305 nt
Filed under: uncultured bacterium
Lineage: Bacteria
Description: bacterial SSU rRNA
Rfam family: Bacterial small subunit ribosomal RNA
Source: RNAcentral